This 934-nucleotide long non-coding RNA is filed under the name Mytilus galloprovincialis (Mediterranean mussel). Lineage: Eukaryota; Metazoa; Mollusca; Bivalvia; Mytilida; Mytilidae. The record is from RNAcentral.
AAAAUAUUAAAAAAAUUUGUAAGGGUUCCGCGGAACCCAGUGUCUCGCCUAUUUUUGCUGUAAAUUGCAGGCUCAACAAUAAUGAGGAAAAAAAUCAAUAAAAAUAUUCCUCUUGUUACUAUUUUAUGAUUGUAAGAAAAUCUAAGUCCAUUUAAAAGUAAAUUACAGAAAAAACGGAGUAAUCUUUUUACAAACUUUACUUCUGGAUACAAUCUAAUAUGAUCAUAAAUAAGCUUCUGUCCAAGUUUGGUACAAACCCAGUAUAGUUUAAUUAAGAAAGUUAUUAAAAUUUUAAAAACUUUAACCACAGAGUGAAUGUAAUGGUUCCCCGCAGAAAAACUAAGUCCAUUUAAAAGUAAAAUAUGGAAAAAAUGGAUUUAUUUAUUUACAAACUUUACUUCUGGAUACAAUCUUAUGAUCAUAAAUAAGCUUCGUCCAAGUUUGGUACAAACCCAGGAUAGUUUAAGAAAGUUAUUAAAAUUUUAAAAACUUUAACCACAGAGUGAAUGUAAUGAUUCCCCGCAGAAAAAACUAAGUCCAUUUAAAAGUAAAAUAUGGAAAAAAUGGAUUUAUUUAUUUACAAAAUUUACUUCUGGAUACUAUCUUAUGAUCAUAAACAACCUUCUGUCCAAGUUUGGUACAAACCCAGGAUAGUUUAAGAAAGUUAUUAAAAUUCUAAAAACUUUAACCACAGAGUGAAUGUAAUGGUUCCCCGCAGAAAAAAACUAAGUCCAUUUGUAAGUAAAAUACGGAAAAAAUGGAAUUUUAUUUUUACAAAAUUUACUUCUGGAUAUUAUCUUAUGAUCAUAAACAAGCUUCUGUCCAAGUUUGGUACAAACCCAGGAUAGUUUGAGAAAGUUAUUAAAAUUCAAAAAACUUUAACCACAGAGUGAAUGUUUUGUUUCCCCGCAGAAAAAACUAAGUCCAAUUAUAG